RNAcentral lists this ribosomal RNA (501 nucleotides) under uncultured bacterium. RNAcentral's name for it is "bacterial SSU rRNA". It matches the Rfam family "Bacterial small subunit ribosomal RNA", at positions 28 to 534 of the family's 1533-position model. The record is from RNAcentral.
GAUGAACGCUGGCGGCGUGCCUCAAACAUGCAAGUCGAGCGAGGCUAUGAGUUACCGCAAGGUAAGGCAUAGCCUAGCGGCGAACGGGUGAGUAACACGUGGGUAACCUACCUGGAAGACAGGGAUAACGAUUCGAAAGGGUCGCUAAUACCUGAUAAUAUCCGUCUGCCGGAUGGCGGAGGGAAGAAAGGGGAAACCCGCUUUCAGAUGGGCCCGCGUCCCAUCAGCUAGUUGGUAAGGUAAAGGCUUACCAAGGCGACGACGGGUAGCCGGUCUGAGAGGAUGUACGGCCACACUGGGACUGAGAUACGGCCCAGACUCCUACGGGAGGCAGCAGUUGGGAAUCUUAGGCAAUGGACGAAAGUCUGACCUAGCGACGCCGCGUGAGGGAAGAAGGCCUUCGGGUUGUAAACCUCUGUCAUGGGGAAGAAGGAAGUGACGGUACCCAAGAGGAAGCCCCUGCUAACUACGUGCCAGCAGCCGCGGUAAAAGUCAACGUCG